GUCCACGCUGUAAACUAUGAUUACUAGGUGUAGGGGGUAACACCCCCCUGUGCCGCAGCUAACGCAAUAAGUAAUCCGCCUGGGGAGUACGGUCGCAAGAUUGAAACUCAAAGGAAUUGACGGGGGCCCGCACAAGCAGCGGAGCAUGUGGUUUAAUUCGAAGCAACGCGAAGAACCUUACCAAGGCUUGACAUCCUCUGACCGCCAUGGAAACAUGGUUUCCCUUCGGGGCAGAGAGACAGGUGGUGCAUGGUUGUCGU
Molecule: ribosomal RNA, 260 nt
Filed under: uncultured bacterium
Lineage: Bacteria
Description: partial 16S ribosomal RNA
Rfam family: Bacterial small subunit ribosomal RNA
Source: RNAcentral